This 428-nucleotide ribosomal RNA is filed under the name uncultured bacterium. RNAcentral's name for it is "partial 16S ribosomal RNA". It matches the Rfam family "Bacterial small subunit ribosomal RNA", at positions 354 to 796 of the family's 1533-position model. The record is from RNAcentral.
GUCGGGAGUCUUGCACAAUGGGGGAAACCCUGAUGCAGCGACGUCGCGUGUGGGAUGAAGUAUUUCGGUAUGUAAACCACUUUUGCGGGGGGCGAAAAAAAUGACGGUACCCCGCGAAUAAGCCCCGGCUAACUACGUGCCAGCAGCCGCGGUAAUACGUAGGGGGCGAGCGUUGCUCGGAUUGACUGGGCGUAAAGCGCGCGUAGGCGGUCCAUUAAGUGUGCGGUGAAAUUCGGAGGCUCAACCUCCGUCCCGCCGCGCAAACUGAUGGUCUUGAGAUUGGGAGGGGGAUGCGGAAUUCCUGGUGUAGCGGUGAAAUGCAUUGAUAUCAGGAGGAACACCGGCGGCGAAAGCGGCAUCCUGGCUUAUAUCUGACGCUGAGGCGCGAAAGCGUGGGUAGCAAACGGGAUUAGAAACCCUAGUAGUCC